UAUGUUUUGUUGGUCUUGGGCUUUGGUAUGUAUUGACUCUAUGCAAAUUACAAUUUGCGUGGUUUUUUUUGGAAGAAAAAAGCAAGGCAAUCAAUAUACGAGUAAAGAGAACAAAACAAACAAAUGAACAUAUCCAUCAUCCAACAGAUCUUUGCAUCCCGACAUAUAUAUAAACCCCAUUGGGCGAGGAAGCACAAAAUCAUAACAUGAACAACAAAUAUGGUACAAAACAUAGAUGGUGUGCAUAUAAAUUUGGGAUGGUUCAAAUUUGGGCAGGUUUAAGCCACCAUCAUGAAUCUCAAAACACAACCAAAAAAAUAAUCUCAAAAACCACCAAAAAACCAACCACUGCCAAUAGAGUUUUUUUUUUUUUUUUUGAACGGCAAAAUAAAUUUUAUUAAGGGGAGAGGGAUCUAACCAAAAGUUAGAUAAACACCUAAAGGGCAAAGCCCAAACACCAGGGUCCUAAAAGCCCAAAUACAACAUUAAAGUUCACACCCAAAGGUCUACACUCCCAGAUUAUUGCAAGUUAAGCACAAAAGGCCCAAACAACUGGCCUAACACCAAGAAGCCCAAAACCAAAUCUGGAGAUGAACAAUUGGUUGUUUCACAAUUCAAGCUGAACUAUUUUGUCUGGGCACUUUCCUCUUCAAAAAUCUUCAAUAACCAAAAAAACACGAACAACACCUACAGUCUCUCUCUCUCUGCGCCGUGUUACAAGACUUGGUUUUGGAUAGAUUCCCUACUUUUUCUCAGAUCCGAAUGCGAAAUAAAAGGAGCUUUGAUUUUAAUUUGUUGGGAAACUGAGAAUUGAUAUAAACCUUACUUUACUUAACGGGUGAUUGAUUGUAUCUAAAAAUAGCCCUAGCAUAUUUUUGUAUAGGCUACAAGACUUGACCACCAACACCCUAAUUAAAGCCUUAAUUAAAUUAGGAAAACACACUAGAAAACUUGGACUAAUUAGAAAAUACGUACGGAUAAUGGCCUAGACGAAAUAGAAAACAUAAUAAUAAAGCCAAUAAACUAUGGUAAUAAUUUACUUCCAAAUAUGAACAAUUUUAGUUAUUUGGGGGAAAUCAUGAGUUGUGAAAGUAAAAUAUUGAAGGUUAUUCAUUUCACGGGUUUGCUCUAAGUAACAAGUUCGUGGAGCUGGAGUUUGGGCCUUGGGGUAGGGCCGAUAAACGAACUGAGCCGAACAAGUCUAAUGGCUAGUUCAUACUUGGUACAAAAUCUAAACGAGCUUCAAAAAUGGGUCCUAACUUGGUUUGUUUACUAGUCGAACCGAUCUCGAGCGAGCUUUGAAUGAGCCAAUCACUAAUUAAACUCGAGUAGCUUGUUUUUUUUUCUGACAAUUUAAACUUAUCGAGCCGCGUAGUAGGUUGUUCAAGAGUAGCUUGCAUAUUAACCAACUUAACAAAUGUGUUCGAGUUAAGUGUGUUUAUGCAAAAAACGAACCGAACAUGAGUCAAUCUAGCACGAGCUAUUUAGUUCGUUUAGCUGCCCUAAGCAGGAGUGUAAAAGUGCAUUUCCUAAAGAAGUUAUACCACUAAAAAUCGUGAGAGUAGGAAAUCCAACAAGUUGGCCUAGUGGUCAAAGCCUUGGACCGAUGCUUCCUGCCUCUCCCUCCUUAGCUCUUAGAUUCGAAACCUCUCAGGGGCUAUCAAUCGUGGUGUCCUGCAAGUGGACAGUGAGAUUGAUCCCCAGAAUUAAUCAAGGUACACGUAAACUGGUUCGGACACUGCAUAUAGAUCACCUUAUUUAGGUUUUGCUAACAAUUAAUUGAUAGUUGAAUGGUGGUAAAAGUGCGCAUAAUAUAAGGUAAAUAAGAAUUUGAAUACCUUUAUAGUAUGUCGAGCAAACGAUUAUUUAUUCAUUGCCUCACAGGGCAAUAUCUCAAAAAGAUUUGAGCUCUUCAUUUCUGUGGCCCCCAAAUAAGUAGUGGUGCGACCCGUACAAAUGAGGGGUCCAUAAUUUAGGGGUGAGCAUGGUCUAGAUUGGUUCGAUUUCAUAGUAAACCAAGAACCAAAUCAAUACUUACGGAUUGCGAAUUUGGAGAACCAAACCAAUCCAUAGAAUGCAUAGAACCAAACCAUAAGAAUAUGGUUCGGUUUAGAUUUUGAACCACGGUUUGCAUGAAAUUGAGAUAUCUACUUUCAUAAACUAUUUAAAUUAAGUACUAAGGGACAUAUUAAAUCAAAUAUUAUUAGUAUUAAAACCAAUUCUUUUUCUAUGUAAGAAAUAUAGUAAAUAUAAAGAAUUAUUAAGAGAGAAAAUAGUGGCUAACAAAGAGUCCCUAUUAUUGACCGGAAAAAGAGAUAUAUAAUUUGUCAAUUAUGUUUAUUACAUUAGGUUUAGUAAGAAUAGCAAUAUAAGAGUAGUUUCAAGUUUCAACAUACAAAUUUAGAGUAUUAGAUUAAGAAAUUAAUUUACUGUGGCUUAGGCUAGUUUUAUUUGGUAAAUCUAAAUCGUGUAUAUAUCAAUAUAUUAUAUACAUAUUAUAUACGCACACAUACAUAUGGUUCAGAUCGGAUUGGAGCCGGAACCGUUAACAUAAAUCCACAAACCAAAGCAUUAAACACAGUUUAUAAUUUUUUGAAACCAAAGCCAAACCACACAACUAAAAAACCGAACCAAACUAUGCGGUUUGGUUUGGUUUGAACCAGGUUCGUGAAUCGACGGUUUUUUUCUCACCUCUAGUCCAUAUCAUUUUGGGUAUUGUUGGGACAAAGAGUGAAUAUCUGUCGAGCACGGGUGGAUCAAGGCCUUAAUCUGUAGCAUUUGUUUGUGCUUCAAAAGUGAAAUGAGAAAAUCCUUCAUGAUCUUAAGAUUGAUCAUAUUUGUAAAAUGGAUGCAUGGAUGUUCAAAAAAAAUUGACAAAACACUACAUAUAUCCCAAAGAAAGAACGGAAAAAUAAAAACUCUUUCUUUUCUUGUUACAAAUUGGCACCAAUAGUAGAAAAUUUCAAUUGCCCAAAUAAUUGGAGAUGCUAAAUCGAACAAAAGAAACAGAUAGAUUGCAAAGAUCCAGAUUGGAAAAAUGGUAGAAAUAGUAAAAGAGGCAUGCAUGAUUUAUUUCUUCUUCUACAUUUCCAGUAACUAUAAAGUAGAUAAUUCUAGGUCAACACAGAAGCGGUAAAUGCGGUAAAUAAAGCUGCACAACUUUAGAUUUUACUAGCUUGUGAAUAUGCAGGAUCCCAUAUCUGGUUGCAAGAAAAAAAAAAAAUCUUAUGGAUUUAAAUUAAGGUGGCAAAUUACAAUUAACUAUAUGUAUCUAUAGCUAGAGAUUUUGAUCAAGCUUCUCAACAAGUAGUUGUAACGACUCGAAUCAUCAAGGAACACUAAGUAAAACUAACAAUUACAUAAUGUCUCACUCAAUCCUAGCAACCAAUCCAACCCAAGUAAAUAACAAAAACCUGAUCACCAUGAAUUUUAUUAAACAAACACCAAUGAUAACCCAAUCCCAUCUCUUCUUAUUCUCUACUUGAUUACCUUUGUUUCUUCUCCUUUUCAGUUUUCUCCUUAUUCUCUUCCUUUUCUCUACUGCUAUUUUCCCCCUCCCUACGUACCAUUUUCUCUCCCCUUUUAUGCGUUUUUUUGGCAUCCCUUUUCUUUAAAUUCUCCACACAUGUUCACAUCCACCAAACUUUUAUUUAGUCAACUGCACAACUACGUGCCACGUUUUCUUGCUAUGACACUAUUCAUAUUUCACAAUCUGGUGAAGCCCCAUACUUCCACAUUGCGCAGCCACCAAAUAAAAGUUAACCCAAAUUUCUUUCCAACUUUAUCUCUCCAUCUCCAAUACAAGUGAAAAUAAAAUGACUAUCUACUAUUUUCAUAUUUCUUUUAUGAUAAUAUUUUUUUUUAUGAUAAUAAUAACUAGAAUUCGUUGAACCCAAAUUAGAAAUGUUCGACUGCAAAAGUUAACAGAUACAUAAGUUUUUUCUCUGAUGCAUUUUUAGAUCAACCAUAGGGAUAAUAAGUGUCACUACAAACAAAGGUGUUCAACUUAUACCGGUAUUCGAUUAGCUAAAUUGCUAAAUGAUCAAUGCACCUAAUUAUUCAUGAGGUUGUGUAAAUCAAUACGUCUUCUACCAAUUCUUAAGUGCUAAGGCGCACAAUUCCAUAUAUAAUGGUGUAUGUGUCAACAAAAAAAAUUCAAAAGUACUAUGCAUUAUAACCUCCCUGGCCUUAAGAGUUAAGAGUAAGGGUUUAAUAUGCUAUCAUAUGACCAUAUCAAACUAACAAUUGACAAUCAAUAGUUGAAAUUGCAAAGAUUAUAUAUGGAUGAUAUUCUACUCCAAAUUAAUUGACUAAAGUGUUCCAUAUCUCACCAUACGUCGAUGUUGCUAUCAUCACUUUAUUUUGGGGACUUAUUGUUACCGUUGUCUUGAUGUUGCCGUGGUACGCUCCGGCGUUAUGUAUAGCUUGUAACCCUCUUAGAAUAGCCUUACAAUAAACACAAACAACUAUUAUUUUCUCUUAGCUCAUAAAAAAAAAUUGUCAAUUUAUGCAACUUUUUUUCCCAUUACUAUUCCUAAGAACGGACUUAGUGUCGGUCCCAAGGCCAAUACACCAAGUUCCUAAGUUGUUGUACUCCCAAGCCGCCUUUGGUCUUGCGAUCCACGAGGUCAAGCUAUCUUCGGUGAAUUCUUUUCUUGAUACAACCGUGCUUGCAUUUUUGCAAGUACCAACGUAAAAUUCAUCACAAACUGAAGGAUUUGUUAUGUUUUCGAAAACAUUUUGGAAAUGUAUAGCUUCUUGAUGAGUAUUGGUUAGGUGAACUGUUACGGUUUUGAAAUCCAAAGGAUUGGUAGUCCAACAAUGGGCUUCAAAAGUUGCGCCAUACGAGUGCUUUUUUAUUUUAUAGUUCAAAUUCGAAAUAUCGAUUUGGAAUUCCAUUUCAUGCCAAACUUGCAUACAAAACAUGCAAAACAAUAAUGUUGGGCUUUCUUUAUUAGCAAAAUAAAAUACAUCAAGUAAUAAGUGGAAUCAGACUUUACAAUUCUUCCAGAUGGAUUUCCUCUAACCUUCCAAUCAUCAGUGUCAUAGUUGGAAGGUUAGAGUAAAUCCACCUGGAGGAGUUGUAAAUUCUGAUUUCACUUAUUUAGUUGAUGUAUUUUAUUUUGUUAAGAAACAAAGCCUAAUAUUAUUGUUUUGCAUGUUUUGUAUGCAAGUUUGGCAUGAAAUGUAAUUUCAAAUCGAUAUUCCAAAUUUGAACUAUAAAAUAAAAAAGCACUUGUAUGGCGCAACUUAUGAAGCCCAUUGUUGGACAACCAAUCCUUUGGAUUUCAAAGCCAUAACAGUCCACCUAACCAAAACUACCAAAACUCAUCAAGAAGCUAUACAUUUACAAAAUGUUUUUGAAAACAUAACAAAUCCUUCAGUUUGUGAUGAGUUUUACGUUGGUACUUGCAAAAAUGCAAGUACGGUGGUAUCAAGAAAAGAAUUCAUCGGAGGUAGCUUGACCUCGUGGGAUUGCAAUACCAAAUGGGGAUUGGGAGUACAACAACUUGGGAACGUGGUGUAUUGGCCUUGGGGCCGAUACUAAGUCUGUUCUUAGGUGUAGUAAUAGGGAAAAAAAAAAAAGUUGUAUAAAUUGACUUUUUUUAAUUUAUAAUGAGCUAUGAGAAAAUAAUAGUUGUUUGUGUUUUUGUUAGGGCUAUUUUGAGAGGUUUACAACCUAUACCUAACGCUGGAGCGUAUCAUGGCAACAUCAAGACGACGGUGAGGAUAAGUCCCAAAAUGAGGUGUUGAUAGUAACAUCGAUGUAUGGUGAGAUAUGGAGCACUUUAGUUAAUUAAUUGGAGUAUAAUAGCUUCCAUAUAUAAUCUUUGCAAUUUCAACUAUUGAUUGUCAAUUGUUAGUUAGAUAUGGUCAUCUGAUAGCAUAUUAAACCCUUCCUCUUAAGAGGUUAUGAUGCAUAUAUAUGCACGUUUGAAUUUUUUUGUUGUCACAUACACAAUUAUAUAUGGAAUCGCGCGCCCUAAUACUUAAGAAUUAGUAGAAGAGGUAUUGAUUUACACAACCUCCUGAAUAAUCAGGUGCAUUGAUCAUUUAGCAAUUUAGCUAAUCGAAUACCAGUAUAAGUUGAACAUCCUUGUUUUUAGUGACACUUACUAUCCCUAUGGUUGAUCUAAAAAUGAAUCAGAGAAAAAGCUUGUGUAUUUGUUAACUUUUGUAGUCAAACAUUUCUGAUUUGGGUUCAACGAAUUCUAGUUAUUAUUAUCAUAAAAAAAAAAUUAUCAUAAAAGAAAUAUGAAAAUAGUAGAUAGUCAUUUUAUUUCACUUGUAUUGGGGAUGGAAAGAUAAAGAUGGAAGGAAGUUUGGGUUAACUUUUAUUUGGUGGCUAUGCAACGUGGUAGUAUGGGGGCUUCACCAGAUUGUGAAAUAUGAAUAGUAUCAUAGCAAGAAAACGUGGCACGUAGUUGUGCAGUUGACUAAAUGAAAGUUUGGUGGAUGUGAGCAUUGCUGACUUUGAAGAUAUUGUGAAGAUGGUAGUUGCAGGUCAUCCGAUCACCCCCCACACCGGGAGCUACUCCGGCGGUGGUGCCAAAAGUUAUCGAUAUGUUUCAUGCAUUGUGCAACCUGUUGCCAAAGACUACAAAGCAAAACAACUUGCAAAAUUUGAGGGACUUUUGUUUUUUUAUAUACAACACUCCCUUGGUUUGGGAGGGCAAAGAAAGGUUCAUGUUUAAGGACAUUGUUUGGAACAUCAAGAAUAGAGAGAGACACGAAUGCGUUCAAAACUAUUACGUUCAAUAGCAGUUUCAUAGACAUGACCGGGUGGUAGAGCUGCAUUCCGAUGAAUCCGUCAGGUGCUUUUUAUAGGGUCUUGAUGUACAACCCGAACAAUGCUUCUAAUCCCAAUCAAACAUAUCCAAUUGCUGUAUACAAUGAUGAGAGUGGAAUCGUUGAUUACGAGAGGAACUUUCUUGUCCAUUUUCAGACCCAUGUAUGCGGCAAUUCUCGAGAUGUGAGUCGGCUUCAAAUUGAAAGCUUGCUCUACAAUAUUCUACCAGAAUCAUGUUCUGUUGUUUAUUACGGUUUGGUUCAAAGGUUUCAAACUACAAGCUCGAAAUAUUUCAAGAACAAUCUGGAGAAAAUGUUCACUGCAGAACCAUCUCCAUGUUACUAGAAGAUUGACAGGUUGGUUUACUGUUUCCUGGAGCUGAUCUUGCUUACCUAUGGCACUGUUUCCUAGAGCUGAUCGGGUUUACUGUUUCCUGGAGCUGAUCCUUUAUCCAAAAAGUUACUCCAUAUUGCAAGUAGUUGUGUUUGCAUGCUACCCAUACACCAUUAGUAUCUAUCAAAAUCUGGGAAUUACACUACCAGAUAUGGAUAUAUGCGGCUGUUUUUUUGGCAUAUUCAGUGACUAGUUUUUGGUUUGUGAUUUAGUUCUGAAUUUUGUCGUUUUCUAUGAUUUUUUUCGUACUUUGGAAAUUGAAAAUUUGAUGGUGGAUAUAGACAAAUGUUUGCGUUUUUUAUUA
Rhododendron vialii is the source of this 7487-nucleotide RNA transcript. RefSeq lists it as uncharacterized. The record is from RefSeq and is a predicted model, not a curated record. NCBI's taxonomy places the organism in Eukaryota, Viridiplantae, Streptophyta, Magnoliopsida, Ericales, Ericaceae. The transcript has 5 exons.